GUUGUUGGGUUGAAGUUAUGAUAUACGUGCUGUAUUGUACGAUACGGCAUCCAACGAAAUGUUUAUGGGCGCUAACAUCAUGCUC
Molecule: non-coding RNA, 85 nt
Filed under: Aplanochytrium stocchinoi
Lineage: Eukaryota; Bigyra; Thraustochytrida; Thraustochytriidae
Source: RNAcentral